Molecule: ribosomal RNA, 507 nt
Filed under: Triticum aestivum (bread wheat)
Lineage: Eukaryota; Viridiplantae; Streptophyta; Magnoliopsida; Poales; Poaceae
Description: partial small subunit ribosomal RNA
Source: RNAcentral
AUGCUGCGCGGCUCCCUCUGGCGGCUCCUGGCCGUGGCCGUGGCCGUGCCGGCGGCGACGCGGGCGGUGGCCGCCCUGAAGGCCGGUCGGAGCCUGCACCGGGACUUCGACGACGGCCGGGUGGUGGAGCUGGCGCUGGACCGGGAGACGGGGUCCAGGCUGGAGUCCAAGGACCGGUACCUCUUCGGGCGGUUCGAUCUCGACAUCAGGCUCGUCGCCGACGAGUCCGCCGGGACCAUCACUUCCUUCUAUGAGGGAAGCAGCGGAUGCGAGCCAGGAGGCGGAUCGGCUCGACCCAGCCAUGGAGCUGCCGCUGCGGACUCCCUGCCGGCCUCCUUCGUCUUCAUGUGGAUUUGCAUGGCAAGUGAUGUUGCGUUGCCAAUGACACAUCUAGAAUUGCUGUUCGUGACUCCUGUAGAUGUUCCUGAAUUUUUCUUUGUAGUGGUUGGGUGCUGCCAUAAAACCUGUAACAGCAGCAAGAUGCAGUUCUCGGCAAAUCGCUUUUAG